GGGGCUGAUUCUGGAUUCGACGGGAUUAGCGAAGCCCAAGGUGCACGUCGAGGUGCGGUAGGCCUCGUAAAUAAACCGCAAAAAAAUAGUCGCAGAUCGUGUGGAAGCCACCGUUUGAGGAUCGAAGCACUAAAUUGAAUCAAACUAGCUUAAGUUUAGCGUGUCUGUCCGCAUGCUUAAGUGAAAUUAAAGACGAGACUAAACGUGUAGUACUGAAGGUAGAGUAAUUUCGGACGCGGGUUCAACUCCCGCCAGCUCCACCA
This 263-nucleotide transfer-messenger RNA is filed under the name Parahaemophilus parainfluenzae. Its description in RNAcentral is "Haemophilus parainfluenzae transfer-messenger RNA". It matches the Rfam family "transfer-messenger RNA". Rfam says of the family: Bacterial tmRNA, also known as 10Sa RNA or SsrA, is named for its dual tRNA and mRNA-like properties. Its role is to liberate the mRNA from a stalled ribosome. Lineage: Bacteria; Pseudomonadati; Pseudomonadota; Gammaproteobacteria; Pasteurellales; Pasteurellaceae. The record is from RNAcentral.